Long non-coding RNA from Homo sapiens (human), 1011 nucleotides. RefSeq lists it as uncharacterized. The record is from RefSeq and is a predicted model, not a curated record. Lineage: Eukaryota; Metazoa; Chordata; Mammalia; Primates; Hominidae. The transcript has 3 exons.
CCGAGGUUAUAACUCCGCCCUCUGGUUACGCCUCGAGGUUAUAACCCCGCCCUCUGGCUCCGCCUCGAGGUUCUAGCCCCGCUCCUAGCUCUUCCUCGGUCUGUAACCUCUCCCGUAGCUCUUCCUUGAGGUUCCAGCCCCGCCCUCUGGCUCCUCCCCGACACUCUCUCCCCGCCCCAGGCUCCGCCCCGAGAUUGCAGCCCAGUCCCUAGGCCCGGUCCCCGACCUCCGGGCCUUCCCGGACAUCCCUUUCCAGCUGCGCGUUCGGAGUAUCCCGGAGCUGUUACUCAUUCCCGGCCUCCCGCGGUCUCGAGCGCUUUCCGGGUUAUUCAUCGCGGCCCCAACACCCUGUGGCCACCCGCCCUGACUCAGUUCCUUCUCGAAUUCCUCGACCCAGAGCCCCCCACAUUUUCCGGGGAAACCCUGUUCCAGGCGCAGGCGUUCGGGACCCAGCCCCUACCUGGGACGCAGGUGUGGAGCAGCAGCAGCAGCGGCAGCAGCGGCGGGUGACCCAUGUCGCGAGGGCAGCUCCUGUGCGCGGGGUCCCUGCACGUCUUCUCUCCUUCUGGCCUCAGGAAGGAGGCAGUUUUGUGGCCCCAGGGACUCCUCCCAGACGUUUUGCGAAAGAGCGAGUCAGCCCCAGAUGCGUGGGCGCCUCCCCCUCCUCCCGUACGAACCUCCUCCGCCACAAACUUCCCUUCCCGGGGCGCGGCCGGCUGGUGGUGAAGGGGCUGGCUCGGCCCUGACUCAUGGAGUUGUGAUCACAGCUCUGUCCCCAGAUUGCCUGGGUGCAAAUCCCAGUUCUCUCUCUUCCUAACGUGGGACCCGGGGCAAUCGCUCUCCACUGCUGUAAAAUGAGGAUAAAAACUUUGACGGUGAGGAUGCAGCAAGAAAAUGCCUUCCAUGAACCAGAGAGCAGGAUCUUGCCAGACACUAAAUCUACUGGUGCCUUGACCUAGGAUUUCCCAGCCUCCAGCACUGUGAGAAAUAAAUGUCUAUUGUUUAUAGGUA